This 521-nucleotide ribosomal RNA is filed under the name Micrococcus luteus. Its description in RNAcentral is "bacterial SSU rRNA". It matches the Rfam family "Bacterial small subunit ribosomal RNA", at positions 60 to 594 of the family's 1533-position model. The record is from RNAcentral. Lineage: Bacteria; Bacillati; Actinomycetota; Actinomycetes; Micrococcales; Micrococcaceae.
AGUCGACGAUGAGCCCAGCUUGCUGGGUGGAUUAGUGGCGAACGGGUGAGUAACACGUGAGUAACCUGCCCUUAACUCUGGGAUAAGCCUGGGAAACUGGGUCUAAUACCGGAUAGGAGCGUCCACCGCAUGGUGGGUGUUGGAAAGAUUUAUCGGUUUUGGAUGGACUCGCGGCCUAUCAGCUUGUUGGUGAGGUAAUGGCUCACCAAGGCGACGACGGGUAGCCGGCCUGAGAGGGUGACCGGCCACACUGGGACUGAGACACGGCCCAGACUCCUACGGGAGGCAGCAGUGGGGAAUAUUGCACAAUGGGCGCAAGCCUGAUGCAGCGACGCCGCGUGAGGGAUGACGGCCUUCGGGUUGUAAACCUCUUUCAGUAGGGAAGAAGCGAAAGUGACGGUACCUGCAGAAGAAGCACCGGCUAACUACGUGCCAGCAGCCGCGGUAAUACGUAGGGUGCGAGCGUUUAUCCGGAAUUAUUGGGCGUAAAGAGCUCGUAGGCGGUUUUGUCGCGUCUGUCG